This 2902-nucleotide long non-coding RNA is filed under the name Camarhynchus parvulus. Its description in RNAcentral is "lncRNA (ENSCPVG00000018590.1)". Lineage: Eukaryota; Metazoa; Chordata; Aves; Passeriformes; Thraupidae. The record is from RNAcentral.
UGGAUCCUGGUGGAUCCCAGACCUCGUGGUGACCUCGUGGUGGCCUGGUGGUGACUCCCCCAUCUCCUGCAGGACCUGAAGAUCAAGAACAUGGGCUCGUGGGCGUCGCUGGUGCAGAAGCACCCGGCGGCGCCGGCGGCGGCGGCCAAGUCCUCGAGCGACUCCUUCGAGCAGUUCAAGGCGGGCGGCGCGCGAGAAGGAGGAGCGCGAGAAGGCCCUCAAGGCCCAGGCCGAGCAGGUGGAGCGCGAGAAGGAGCGGCUCAGGAGGGAGCAGGAGAGGAUGAGGACCCGGGAGGACGAGGAGGCGCUGGAGCAGGCGCGGCGGGUGCACGAGGAGGUUCGGCGGCGCCAGGAGCAGCAGCAGCAGCCGCAGCCGCCGGCGGCGCCGGGCUCGGUGUCGGUUCCGGGUUCCGUUCCCGGUUCCGUUCCCGGCUCCGUUCCCGGUUCCGUUCCGGCUCCGUGCCCGGCUCCGUGCCCGGCUCGGUGUCGGUGCCCGGCUCGGUGCCGGUGUCGGCGGCGUCGGCGGCGCCGCAGCCGCCGGGCCCGGCCGGCUCCUCGCAGGCCAUGCUGGACCAGCAGCGGGAAAUGGCGCGCAAGAGGGAGCAGGAGAGGCGGCGCCGGGAAGCGAUGGCGGCGACGAUCGACAUGAACUUCCAGAGCGACCUCUUGGCGAUUUUCGAGGAGAAUCUUUUCUAGGAGAGGCUGACUCCGGCCGGGAAUUUUGACUUUUCCCAAAAAAAAAAUAAAAAAACAAAAACAAAAAAAAAAACCCGACCAAAAAAAAAAGUGGAAAAAUACCAAAAAAAAAGAAAAAAAUUCCUUUUUUUUUUUUUUUUCCCUUUCCCCUUUUUUUCCUGGCCAAAAAUGACGCGAAAACAAAAAAAAAAAAAAAGCAAAGUUCGGACUGUCCGUUAAAUAUCGGAAAAAAUUCGGGAAUGGGCCGAGGGGCGGGGCUGCCUUUACCCCGAAUUCCGAUUUUUUGGUCCUUUUUCCCUUUUUCACACCAAAAAUGAAAAAAAACCCAACAAACCACCUGGGAAUUGCCGGGAUUUUAAUUUGAAUUUUCUUUGGAAUUUUUUUUUGGUUUUAAUUUUUUGGGGGUUUUUCUUUCCUCCGGCAGCGGCGAAAAAAAAAAAAUGGGAAAAAGAAAAAAAAAUCCCAAAUUUUUUUUUUUUUUUUGGCGGAUUUGGGGCUUUUUGGGGAGGAGUUGGGGGAGGGGUGAUGGGGGAGGGGCGCCCCCUCCCCACCCGCAGCCUCAGGGACUUCCCCCCUUCGCCUUUUCCCAUUUUCCUGGAAUUUCUCCUUUUUUUCCCACUUUUCCCCCCUCCUUUUUUAAUUUCCUUCCUUUCCCAAAAAUUCCCUUUUUUUUCCCUGACGUUUUUCCAUUUUUCCUCAUUUUUUUCAAAUUUUUUCCUGAUUUUCUUUCCUAAUUUUUCCUGAUUUUUUUUCAAAUUUUUCCUGAUUUUUUAAUCAAUUUUUUCCCUUCUUCUUUUUUUGGUUUUUCCCUGAUUAUUUUUUCAAAUUUGCCUGAUUUUUUCCUUUUUUUCCCUGUUUUUUUUUCCUCCAAUUUUCCCACAUUUUCCCCCGAUUUCUUUUUAUUUUCCCCCUGAUUUCUUUUUAUUCUGUUCCUCAUUGUUUUUCCUUUUUUAUUUUUCCUGAUUUUUUUCAAAAUUUUCCCUUUUUUUCCUGUUUUUUUUUCAAAUUUUUCUUCUUUUUUUUUCAAUUUUUUCUGCUUUUUUUUUUCCUGUUUUUUUCAAAUUUUCCUCUUUUUUUUCUGGUUUUUUUUCAAAUUUUUUCUCUUUUUUUUUCAAUUUUUUCUGCUUUUUUUUUCUUCCUGUUUUUUUCAAAAUUUUCCCCUUUUUUCCUGUUUUUUUUCAAAUUUUUUUUUUUUUUUUUUCAAUUUUUCCUGCUUUUUUUUCCUUUUUUUUUUCAAAUUUUCCUGAUUAUUUUCCUUGAUUAUUUUUCAAAUUUUUUUCUCUUUUUUUCAUUUUUUCCUGCUUUUUUUUCCUGUUUUUUCAAAUUUUCCUCUUUUUUUUUGUUUUUUUUUCAAAUUUUUUUUUUUUUUUUCCAAUUUUUCCUGCUUUUUUUCCCGCUUUUUCUCCAAUUUUCCUGAUGUUUUUUCCUUGAUCAUUUUUCAAAUUUUUCCCAGCUUUAUUCUUAAUUUUCUUUGCUUUUUCUCUUUCUCCUUUUUCCUUUCCCCCAUUCUUAAAAUUUUCCCAUUUUCCCCCAAUUUUCCUUAUUUUUCCUUUUUUCCUCCUUUUUCCCCUUCCCGUUUUUAUUUUCCCAUUCUUUAUCUUUCUUUUCCCCCUUUAAUUUCACUUUUUUUUUCCCCUUUAAAUUCCUUUUUUAUUUUCCCCUCUUUUCCCUUUUUUAAUUUGAAUUUCUCCAUCAAAAUUCCCGUUUUUUCCCCCGUUUUUCCCAUUUUUUCUCCGUUUUUUUUCCCCAUUUUCCCCCAUUUUUUAUGAAUUUCUUAUUCUAAAAAAAUUUUUUUAAUUUUCCCCCCUUUUUCCCCUCCCUCCCCUCCCCCUUUUCCCCCAAAAGCUGCUGCCACCGAAUAUUUUUUUUAAUAAUUUCCCAUUUUCCCCCCAUUUUUUCCCAUUUUAAUUCCAUUUUUUUUAUUUUUACUUUUUCUCCAUCCCUUUUUACCCAAAAUCCCGGGAAUUCUCCCCGUUUCCCCCCCCCCCCCGGGUUGGAUUAAUUAUUAAUAAUUAAUUAAUUUUAUUUGGGUUGGGUUUUUUUCCCCGCCGGGGUUUCUCCGAUCGUGGAAUAAAAAACGCUGCGAGUUUGGUUUUGUAUAAAAAAACACCAAAAAAACAACAAAAAAAUACCCCGAAUUUUUCAGGUUUUUUAUCCCCAAAAAUCCCCAAAAAUUGAAAGGGAGAGGGGGAGGGGGGAAAUGGGA